UCCGGUUUGUCACCGGCAGUCUCACUAAAGUGCCCAACCUAAUGAUGGCAAUUAAUGAUAAGGGUUGCGCUCGUUGCGGGACUUAACCCAACAUCUCACGACACGAGCUGACGACAGCCAUGCAGCACCUGUGCGACCAUUCUCUUGCGAGCACUCCACAAUCUCUUGCAGAUCUGAUCCAUGUCAAGGGUAGGUAAGGUUUUUCGCGUUGCAUCGAAUUAAUCCACAUCAUCCACCGCUUGUGCGGGUCCCCGUCAAUUCCUUUGAGUUUUAAUCUUGCGACCGUACUCCCCAGGCGGUCAACUUCCCGCGUUAGCUGCGUUACCAAGACCUAGUUAGUCCCAACAACUAGUUGACAUCGUUUAGGGCGUGGACUAC
This 378-nucleotide unclassified non-coding RNA is filed under the name uncultured Gammaproteobacteria bacterium. RNAcentral describes it as "contains 16S-23S intergenic spacer region". The record is from RNAcentral. Lineage: Bacteria; Pseudomonadati; Pseudomonadota; Gammaproteobacteria.